This 254-nucleotide ribosomal RNA is filed under the name uncultured bacterium. RNAcentral describes it as "partial 16S ribosomal RNA". It matches the Rfam family "Bacterial small subunit ribosomal RNA", at positions 524 to 777 of the family's 1533-position model. The record is from RNAcentral.
UACGUAGGGUGCGAGCGUUAAUCGGAAUUACUGGGCGUAAAGCGUGCGCAGGCGGUUCGUUGUGUCGGUGGUGAAAGCCCCGGGCUUAACCUGGGAAUGGCCAUGGAAACUGGCGAACUGGAGUGUGGCAGAGGGGGGUGGAAUUCCGCGGUGUAGCAGUGAAAUGCGUAGAGAUGCGGAGGAACACCGAUGGCGAAGGCAGCCCCCUGGGCUAGCACUGACGCUCAGCACGAAAGCGUGGGGAGCAAACAGGA